AUAGCGCAUAGUACUGUGAAGGAAAGGUGAAAAGGACCCCGGGAGGGGAGUGAAAGAGAACCUGAAACCUUGUGCUUACAAGCACCGAGAGCCCGUCAAAGGGUGAUCGGGUACCUUUUGUAGAAUGGUCCGGCGAGUGAAUGUAUCUGGCAAGGUUAAGCACUUAAGGUGCGCAGCCGUAGCGAAAGCGAGUCUGAACAGGGCGUAAGAAGUCAGAUGGAUUCGACCCGAAACCGGGUGACCUACCCAUGUCCAGGUUGAAGUGGAGGUAAAACUCCAUGGAGGACCGAACCGACUCCCGUUGAAAUGGUAGCGGAUGAGGUGUGGGUAGCGGAGAAAUUCCAAUCGAACCCGGAGAUAGCUGGUUCUCUCCGAAAUAGCUUUAGGGCUAGCCUCGAAAUAGAUUACCGGAGGUAAAGCACUGAAUAGGCUAGGGGCCGAGAGGUUACUGAACCUUAUCAAACUAAGAAUGCCGGGGAAUCGUUUUUCGGGAGUCAGACAGUGGGAGAUAAGUUUCAUUGUCGAAAGGGAAACAGCCCAGACCCACAGCUAAGGUCCCAAAGUACGGUUAAGUGGAAAAGGAUGUGGAGUUGCCCAGACAACCAGGAUGUUGGCUUAGAAGCAGCCAUACAUUAAAAGAGUGCGUAAUAGCUCACUGGUCGAGUGACUCUGCGCCGAAAAUUCAACGGGGCUAAAACCUGCACCGAAGCUUAGGCAUCCGCAAGGAUGGGUAGGGGAGCGUUGUGUAUGCGGUGAAGCGUUAGCGUAAGCGGGCGUGAAGCGUACACAAGUGAGAAUGCCGGAAUGAGUAGCGCGAAUGAUGUGAGAAUCAUCAUGGCCGAAAGCCUCAGGUUUUUGGAGGAAGGUUCGUCCGCUCCAAGUUAGCCGGGAGCUAAGGUGAGGCCGAAAGGCGUAGCCGAUGCACAUACGGUAGAGAUUCCGUAGCCGCCGAAAGAUUUAAGCAGGGGGACACAUUUGAAGUGUUGGUGCCGGGUGUUGGUUUACCCGGUCGAAAGGGACUGAAAUUUAGUAGGGAAGUCCAGCAUGGAGAGUGGCGAGAAAAGCCCUGUGUAUAUCUAAGGCGCCCGUACCGCAAACCGACACAGGUAGGUAGGAAGAAGAUUCUAAGGCCAACGGGAGAAGGGUUGUUAAGGAACUCGGCAAGUUGACCCCGUAACUUCGGAAUAAGGGGAGCCUCGAAAGAGGCCGCAGUGAAAAGGCCCAAGCAACUGUUUACCAAAAACACAGGUCUAUGCUAAAUCGAAAGAUGACGUAUAUGGGCUGACGCCUGCCCGGUGCUGGAAGGUUAAGAGGAGAGCUUAGCGCAAGCGAAGGUUUGAAUUGAAGCCCCAGUAAACGGCGGCCGUAACUAUAACGGUCCUAAGGUAGCGAAAUUCCUUGUCGGGUAAGUUCCGACCUGCACGAAUGGCGUAACGAUCUCCACACUGUCUCGGCCAGAGACUCGGUGAAAUUGAAGUCGCGGUGAAAAUGCCGUGUACCCGCAGAAAGACGGAAAGACCCUGUGCACCUUUACUAUAGCUUGACAUUGGGAUUUGAGCCUGCAUGUGUAGCAUAGGUGGGAGGCUGUGAACUCUGUACGCCAGUAUGGAGGGAGCCAUCGUUGAAAUACCACCCUUGUUUGUUCAGGUCCCUAACUCCUUGCCGUGAUCCGGUAGGAGGACAGUGUCUGGUGGGUAGUUUGACUGGGGCGGUCGCCUCCCAAAAUGUAACGGAGGCAUGCAAAGGUUCCCUCAGGCUGAUUGGAAACCAGCCGUCGAGUGCAAACGCAAAAGGGAGCUUGACUGCAAGAGAGACAUCUCGAGCAGGUACGAAAGUAGGUGUUAGUGAUCCGGUGAUCCCGAAUGGAAGGGUCAUCGCUCAUUGGAUAAAAGGUACGCCGGGGAUAACAGGCUGAUCGCAUCCAAGAGUUCACAUCGACGAUGCGGUUUGGCACCUCGAUGUCGGCUCAUCACAUCCUGGGGCUGAAGCAGGUCCCAAGGGUACGGCUGUUCGCCGUUUAAAGUGGUACGCGAGCUGGGUUUAAAACGUCGUGAGACAGUUUGGUCCCUAUCUUCUGUGGGCGUAGGAGAAUUGAAAGGGCCUGUCCCUAGUACGAGAGGACCGGGAUGGACACACCACUGGUGGACCUGUUGUCGUGCCAACGGCACAGCAGGGUAGCUAUGUGUGGAAGGGAUAACCGCUGAAAGCAUCUAAGCGGGAAGCCUGCCUUAAGAUAAGUUCUCCCUGACGCAAGUCCUGAAGGGCCGAGGUAGACGACCUCGUUGAUAGGCUGGAGGUGGAAGCCCUGUGAGGGGUGGAGCUGACCAGUACUAAUAGCCCGUGCGUCUUGUUUCU
RNAcentral lists this ribosomal RNA (2355 nucleotides) under human gut metagenome. Its description in RNAcentral is "bacterial LSU rRNA". It matches the Rfam family "Bacterial large subunit ribosomal RNA", at positions 487 to 2925 of the family's 2925-position model. The record is from RNAcentral.